RNAcentral lists this ribosomal RNA (451 nucleotides) under uncultured bacterium. RNAcentral's name for it is "partial 16S ribosomal RNA". It matches the Rfam family "Bacterial small subunit ribosomal RNA", at positions 28 to 507 of the family's 1533-position model. The record is from RNAcentral.
GAUGAACGCUGGCGGCGUGCCUAACACAUGCAAGUCGAGCGGCAGCGAGGGGUGCUUGCACCCUGUCGGCGAGCGGCGGACGGCUGAGUAACGCGUGGGAACGUGCCCCAAAGUGGGGAAUAACUGCCCGAAAGGGUAGCUAAUACCGCAUAUUAUCUUCGGAUCAAAGGAUUUAUCCGCUUUGGGAGCGGCUCGCGUCGGAUUAGGUAGUUGGUGAGGUAAUGGCUCACCAAGCCGACGAUCCGUAGCUGGUCUGAGAGGAUGACCAGCCAGACUGGAACUGAGACACGGUCCAGACUCCUACGGGAGGCAGCAGUGAGGAAUCUUCCACAAUGGGCGAAAGCCUGAUGGAGCAACGCCGCGUGCAGGACGAAGGCCUUCGGGUUGUAAACUGCUUUUAUAAGUGAGGAAUAUGACGGUAACUUAUGAAUAAGGAUCGGCUAACUACGUG